Molecule: long non-coding RNA, 246 nt
Filed under: Sorghum bicolor (sorghum)
Lineage: Eukaryota; Viridiplantae; Streptophyta; Magnoliopsida; Poales; Poaceae
Description: long non-coding RNA (SBIC_LNC013998)
Source: RNAcentral
UUAUUAUUGUUUUGUUACUUCACUGUUCUAUUGCGUCUAAAAAUUCAGAUUAAACCCAUUUUCAUUGAUUGCUCAUUUCAGUCAACAGUCUGUACAGUUUGCUUUGUUGUUCCCCAACAUAUUGCUGUAGUUUGCUAUUCCUAGCUACAUUCUAUGGUUGCUGGCUUGUUGCUGUCCUAAAUUACAAUUCAAUACUAUUAACUAUAUAUUUUUAUUUGGUUUGGAUUUUCCUCUGUCCAAUGUACU